RNAcentral lists this ribosomal RNA (331 nucleotides) under uncultured eukaryote. RNAcentral's name for it is "partial 18S ribosomal RNA". It matches the Rfam family "Eukaryotic small subunit ribosomal RNA", at positions 1470 to 1796 of the family's 1831-position model. The record is from RNAcentral.
CCCUUAGAUGUUCUGGGCCGCACACGCGCUACACUGGCAGGUUCAUCGAGCUUCAUGCCCUGAUCUGAGAAGAACGGGAAAUCUUUGAACACCUGCCGUGCUUGGGAUAGAUGUUUGCAAUUAUUCAUCUUCAACGAGGAUUGCCUUGUAAGCGUACGUCAUCAGCGUGCAUUGAAUACGACCCUGUAUUCUGUACACACCGCCCGUCGCUCCUACCGAUUGAAGUUUUCGGUGAAUUUACUGGAGAUCCCUUUUGAAGGUGGUUCGCCACUGGAAGAAGUAUUCAAAAGUAAAUGAAUCGAAUGCUUUAGAGGAAGGAGAAGUCGUAACA